RNAcentral lists this ribosomal RNA (253 nucleotides) under uncultured bacterium. RNAcentral describes it as "partial 16S ribosomal RNA". It matches the Rfam family "Bacterial small subunit ribosomal RNA", at positions 524 to 776 of the family's 1533-position model. The record is from RNAcentral.
UACGUAGGGGGCAAGCGUUGUCCGGAAUCAUUGGGCGUAAAGAGCGCGUAGGCGGCCCUGUAAGUCCGCUGUGAAAGUCAAGGGCUCAACCCUUGAAUGCCGGUGGAUACUGCAGGGCUAGAGUCCGGAAGAGGAAAGUGGAAUUCCUGGUGUAGCGGUGAAAUGCGCAGAUAUCAGGAAGAACACCCGUGGCGAAGGCGGCUUUCUGGGACGGUACUGACGCUGAGACGCGAAAGCGUGGGGAGCGAACAGG